UACGUAGGUGGCAAGCGUUAUCCGGAUUUAUUGGGCGUAAAGGGAACGCAGGCGGUCUUUUAAGUCUGAUGUGAAAGCCUUCGGCUUAACCGGAGUAGUGCAUUGGAAACUGGGAGACUUGAGUGCAGAAGAGGAGAGUGGAACUCCAUGUGUAGCGGUGAAAUGUGUAGAUAUAUGGAAGAACACCAGUGGCGAAAGCGGCUCUCUGGUCUGUAACUGACGCUGAGGUUCGAAAGCGUGGGUAGCAAACAGG
Molecule: ribosomal RNA, 253 nt
Filed under: uncultured bacterium
Lineage: Bacteria
Description: partial 16S ribosomal RNA
Rfam family: Bacterial small subunit ribosomal RNA
Source: RNAcentral